This 274-nucleotide ribosomal RNA is filed under the name uncultured bacterium. Its description in RNAcentral is "partial 16S ribosomal RNA". It matches the Rfam family "Bacterial small subunit ribosomal RNA", at positions 523 to 796 of the family's 1533-position model. The record is from RNAcentral.
AUACAGAGGGUGCAAGCGUUAAUCGGAAUUACUGGGCGUAAAGCGCUCGUAGGCGGCUUGUAAAGUCGGAUGUGAAAGCCCCGGGCUCAACCUGGGAACUGCAUUCGAUACUGGCAAGCUAGGGUAUAGUAGAGGCAAGUGGAAUUCCGGGUGUAGCGGUGAAAUGCGUAGAUAUCCGGAGGAACAUCAGUGGCGAAGGCGACUUGCUGGACUAAUACUGACGCUGAGGAGCGAAAGCGUGGGGAGCAAACGGGAUUAGAAACCCCAGUAGUCC